CAGCAGCCGCGGGAAUACGUAGGGUGCAAGCGUUAAUCGGAAUUACUGGGCGUAAAGCGUGCGCAGGCGGUUAUAUAAGACAGAUGUGAAAUCCCCGGGCUCAACCUGUGAACUGCAUUUGUGACUGUAUAGCUAGAGUACGGCAGAGGGGGAUGGAAUUCCGCGUGUAGCAGUGAAAUGCGUAGAUAUGCGGAGGAACACCGAUGGCGAAGGCAAUCCCCUGGGCCUGUACUGACGCUCAUGCACGAAAGCGUGGGGAGCAAACAGGAUUAGAUACCCCCGUAGUCCCUGUCUCUUAUAC
This 301-nucleotide ribosomal RNA is filed under the name uncultured bacterium. Its description in RNAcentral is "partial 16S ribosomal RNA". It matches the Rfam family "Bacterial small subunit ribosomal RNA", at positions 509 to 807 of the family's 1533-position model. The record is from RNAcentral.